CCGAAUGACCCUUCCGUAUAGACACAUUUACGUCAAAAUUCUUGAAAGUGUAAUUUAUGUAGUCAAGGUGAAUCUGUCCAUUUUGCUUAUGUUGCUAGCUUGUGAGUAGAAAGCAAACAAACAAACCAAAGACAUAAGCAGCAUAGGAAAUGAGACAGUGUGCUAAAAAGUACUGCUGGGAAAUAAUGAUUGGAAGACAUAUUGAUCAUAUCUUGACAGAAGACAGUAGUACACACCUUGCAUCUGAGCUUCUAAAAGGUCUGAUACUGAUCACUGUUUGACUAUUACAAAGGUUAUGGAGAGACACGAGGGAGAACCUCGCGACUGGCUCCUCCACCACUGCUGGCAAGCUGCAACUGUGAUUAGAUUUUAUAUUUGCGUCAGUGGCAUGGCGUCAUUGAAGACACUUCACUGGGCUCUGUUGCUAGAAAUUUCGUACGAAAAAUAUGGUUUUAUAGUAAACAAAAUGAUAUGUGGUCUUCAACCGAUUAAUCGAUUACAAAAUGUUUAUGAGAUUUAAUCAAGUUUAUUCGUAGCGUCUUCCUUAAACUACAGAAAUUAAAACUUCCUCAUUGUUUUUCACCAUGUUGUCGUACAACAAUAACAAUGUGAUUUACCAACUGCAAUACCAAUCGACAGCUGCAGCAUUCUGCCCUGGGGCUGAGUUCCUGCGCAUGUAUAAAGUCGAUAAUUC
This is a non-coding RNA of Zootermopsis nevadensis, 694 nucleotides long. The record is from RefSeq and is a predicted model, not a curated record. Lineage: Eukaryota; Metazoa; Arthropoda; Insecta; Blattodea; Termopsidae.